CACGUAGGGCGCAAGCGUUGUCCGGAAUUAUUGGGCGUAAAGAGCUCGUAGGCGGUCUGUUGCGUCUGCUGUGAAAACCCGGGGCUUAACCCCUGGCUUGCAGUGGAUACGGACAGACUAGAGGUAGGUAGGGGAGAAUGGAAUUCCCGGUGUAGCGGUGAAAUGCGCAGAUAUUGGGAAGAACACCGGUGGCGAAGGCGGCUCACUGGCCCGAUACUGACGCUGAGGAACGAAAGCAUGGGGAGCAAACAGG
RNAcentral lists this ribosomal RNA (253 nucleotides) under uncultured bacterium. RNAcentral's name for it is "partial 16S ribosomal RNA". It matches the Rfam family "Bacterial small subunit ribosomal RNA", at positions 524 to 776 of the family's 1533-position model. The record is from RNAcentral.